This 537-nucleotide long non-coding RNA is filed under the name Mustela putorius furo (domestic ferret). RNAcentral's name for it is "lncRNA (ENSMPUG00000030301.1)". Lineage: Eukaryota; Metazoa; Chordata; Mammalia; Carnivora; Mustelidae. The record is from RNAcentral.
CUCCUACGUGGCUAGUUUUCAACUACCAUCCAGAAGCCACUGAACAGGGGACUGGGAGGAGGUGUGUUCAGUGGGCUCUUGCGAGUGUGUGCGACCGGUUCUGAGCCUGGGCUGGCUGGCUUCAGCACACCCGUGUGCCCAGUCUCCUUGAAGUCACGCCCUCUGAAAUGCCAUCUUCCCAGCCCCAGUGCCUUUCCUAAACCUUUGGGCAGAAUGAGAACUUUUCAAGUGACCACUUGUCACAAGGUUUGCCAUCCGAUGCUAUUUUUUUGUUAAACCUUUUGAUCCAGAAAACCUAUUCCUGGGAUAAUACUGAAAACAAACGUCUUACUCAUGCAUAGCAGAAGACAUCUAUGAUAAUGUUUAUAGCAUUGUUAUAAUGAAUACUAUGAUGAAUGCUAUAAUGAAAGCCUGGAAGCUGCCUUGAGUCUGUCAUCAUGGGAUUAGAUGAAUAAUCUGUGGAAUAGUCACCCAGUAAUAUUACACAGGAUUAAUGUUAUAGCAAUUGGAUGGACAUUUAGUGCUCUAAUACUAAAG